CAGUUAAGGCUAUAAUGAUUCUCAGACGAGCCGCUUCUUUUUCGACUUUUGUUGUGGUACUGCAGGUUACACCAGCAACAUGCCCGUGGAUGCUGCAGACUAGCGGUUUGCAUGUGUACUGCACGUCGACGCAGACAACGAUGCAGAAGUACUGUAUAAAUGAAAACCGACGCACAGCCUAUGGCGUAGAGUCUACGGUCUACACCUUAGAGUUAGAGUUAGAGUCUACACCUUAAGUGUUGUGGCCCCACAGUGUGAAAUAUUGACCAGUUGACCAGUUUGAGUGGAGAAAGCAGUAUUUGAGAUUGCAAGAAAGCAGAAAUGGCCUCCUGUAACUUCAAAAAGAGCAGGAACGACGCAAGAAAUUCCGCCAGAGGCGUUCAGUGGACCUGGACAACACAGCUUUGCGAGUCCAGAGGGCAAAGUCCCAAAAAGAGCAAAAAAAACACAGAAAUUUCGGAAACCUCCCUGGCCUUCAGUGAUGUCUUUGGAGGAAAGCGAAAGGAGGAGAUGUCCCCAUCCACUAGACAUCUAGAAAAGGCCUGCCGAGAGAGUCUUCUCCACAAGCCGCCCCAUCCACCAGUCAGCAGUGGCCUCCAGUGCUCAAGAAUGUCAGAGUAUCAGACAAAUGUUGACGACGUGCCUCGGACAACUGCUUGAAGGAAAAAGAAGAGAGAGGAAGCCAUUGCACAGGGCCUGCCUCAGAAAAGGCCAAAGGAAUGCAAACCGCUGACUUGCUCUCUGUGUCAGCAGGCAAAAAAUGAAGGAUUAUGGACACUCACGGUACAGUGGCAAAUCCUUUUGCAGCAGUUAUGAGGGCAAGACUGUGGAACUUUGGCUGGCAGAGCAGCAGUCUCUUGCUCCCCCUAAAUAAUUGCCACUGUAUUUUUGUAUUCUUUAUCUCGGUCUUUUAUUAUCUUUGUUAAUUUUAUUAGAUUGUCUGUUUGCAAGUAUGUCAGCAGUAGUUUAGUGUCUGCUGUUAUUUUUUUUUUCCUGCUAAAGAAUGUUUUUAUACAUACACACACACAGUGGGUACAGAAAGUAUUCAGACCCCCUUAAAUUUUUCACUCUGUUAUAUUGCAGCCAUUUGCUAAAAUCAUUUUAAGUUCUUUUUUUUUUCCUCAUUGUACACACAGUACCCCAUAUUGACAGAAAAACACAGAAUUGUUGAUAUUUCAGUUUUUCUUCAAUAAAUCUGCAAAAAUAUCACA
Cyprinus carpio (common carp) is the source of this 1211-nucleotide long non-coding RNA. Lineage: Eukaryota; Metazoa; Chordata; Actinopteri; Cypriniformes; Cyprinidae. The record is from Ensembl.